GCUUAAAUAGUUUAAUUAAAAACGUUGAUUUGUGGUGUCAUUGAUAUAUAUAUAUUUAUUUUAGGUC
Molecule: transfer RNA, 67 nt
Filed under: Cryptocercus hirtus
Lineage: Eukaryota; Metazoa; Arthropoda; Insecta; Blattodea; Cryptocercidae
Description: tRNA-His
Source: RNAcentral